This 481-nucleotide ribosomal RNA is filed under the name uncultured bacterium. RNAcentral's name for it is "partial 16S ribosomal RNA". It matches the Rfam family "Bacterial small subunit ribosomal RNA", at positions 28 to 507 of the family's 1533-position model. The record is from RNAcentral.
GAUGAACGCUGGCGGCGUGCUUAACACAUGCAAGUCGAACGAAGCACUUUAUUUGAUUUCCUUCGGGACUGAUUAUUUUGUGACUGAGUGGCGGACGGGUGAGUAACGCGUGGGUAACCUGCCUUGUACAGGGGGAUAACAGUUGGAAACGGCUGCUAAUACCGCAUAAGCGCACAGCAUCGCAUGAUGCAGUGUGAAAAACUCCGGUGGUAUAAGAUGGACCCGCGUUGGAUUAGCUAGUUGGUGAGGUAACGGCCCACCAAGGCGACGAUCCAUAGCCGACCUGAGAGGGUGACCGGCCACAUUGGGACUGAGACACGGCCCAAACUCCUACGGGAGGCAGCAGUGGGGAAUAUUGCACAAUGGGCGAAAGCCUGAUGCAGCGACGCCGCGUGAGCGAAGAAGUAUUUCGGUAUGUAAAGCUCUAUCGGCAGGGAAGAUAAUGACGGUACCUGACUAAGAAGCACCGGCUAAAUACGUG